AAAAGCGGCACUUUGUUAAUGCAACAGUUCCCAAAGGAUCACUGAAGUUAAACAACGUUGGACGUGGUUUGUAUAUCAAGAUGGGUGACCAUCUGAGAGAUCGCGAGCUGCUGGCU
RNAcentral lists this ribosomal RNA (116 nucleotides) under Diaphorina citri (Asian citrus psyllid). The record is from RNAcentral. Lineage: Eukaryota; Metazoa; Arthropoda; Insecta; Hemiptera; Psyllidae.